ACCCUGUGUCCCUUCAGCUACACAGGUUUAACAUAGCGCAGUUCAUAAUAUAAUUAUCGUAAAAAAAAACGACGUCGUAUAAUCGGAAGAGCUGAAAAUUAUAGGCAUGUAUAUAUAUACUUCCUUUUAAAUUUGUUGUAUAUAACUUGUUAAUUUUAUCAUUUUAAAAAAUAUUUUUUGCUUGUUCGACUGUUGCUGAGCAGUUUUUGAAUAUCAAAUGGACCUUUCUAGAAGGUUUACUUUUGAUUAACGAUGGAGAAUUUACAUAUUGACGCUCUAAAACCCUUGCAAAAUCCUCUGCCUUUUCCUCCACACCGCCGACGAUUGCUCAUGAGUGAAACGUACAGUACAUUGCUUCGAAUUGUAUCAAAUUGCCCCAGCAUUGACUCUACUAUUGAUAAACAAAAACAAGAUGACAAUGGCAGCAGUAAACUGGGAAAAGAAAAUGAAGUCGGCGAAUUGGUUGAUCAUCAUCUCAUCAGGUCUGAGAAAUUGUUAGUUACUGCUCGUGCUCAAGAGGAUUCUGACAAUCUGGUAGUGCAAGGGGGUUCUGGUGAUGGAAAUGAAGGGAGCUCUCGUUCUGGAUAUGGAGAUUUUACUGGUUCACAAAUAGAAGUAGAUUUGGAUCUCUCAAAUCAGAUAAGCGAUGCUGUAGAAGGCAAGAAAGGUGAUUCUGUAACAAAUGAUAUCAUUGAUAUGAAUUGUUUGGUAGACAAAACUCUUGGUUGUAAUGAUCAAAUGAUCCAGGAACCUGGGAAUAGGUGUAGCACUCAUGAAUCGGAAGUGAAGGAGCCUGAUCCUAUCAGACAGGUAGAAUUAGACAAAGAACCCAGUAUUGCUGAUGUCAGAGCAGCAAUAGAGUCUUGUUUUGAUGCAGAUGCAAUUGUUGAUUUGUCGCAACCUGCAGAGCUCCCUGGACAGAAAAUGGAUGUUUCUGAGACACAUUUGUCAGAAGAACUGAAGCAUGGAUUGCGGAUAAAAGAGAUGGAAUUGGAAACAUUGAUAUCUUCUGCUGGAGCAACAGAUUUGUCUGUCCAUGUUCCUGUGUGUGAAGAGGUGGAGGAGGGGGAAGCUUUCGGAGAUGUUAUGGUUUUUGAUGAAUCAGAUUAUGACAUUCUUAAUAAUGUUGGUAAUGAGAAGAAGGAUGGUGCAGAUGAGUCUCCUGCUAACAUUUUUGGUAAAGAAGAGUUUGCUUUUGAUGUUCACGUUAAUGCACCGCAGAAGAAGGAUGCUCACGUUAAUGCACCACAGAAGAAGGAUGUUUACGUUAAUGCACAACAGAAGAAGGAUGCUUAUGCCUCUUCAUCCAUUAAUGCAGUUGAUGAGGAUAACACCUCUUUGGGGGGAGAGUUCAUAAGAAAAUUUAGAGAAGUUCCGAAAGAUAAUACUGAAAAGGUUUUCCGCUCAAAGGAUGUCGAGACCAGAAAGGUUUGUGUGUAUGACACCAUUUUGGAUAGUGGAAUUGAUGCUGAGCAAGUUGGCGGAGAUGUGAAGUUAGAUCAUCCUGCAGGUUCUCAAUUUGAUCAUCCUGCAGGUUCUCAAUUUGACUCAACCUCAAGUGUAAAUGCAAAAAAAAGAAAAUACUUAGAAGUCGGUGCUGAGAAUGGGACUAUUGGUAAAAAUGAAAAGAAGAAACGUCCUUCAAACAAGGAAAGAAAAGCAAGGAAAAAGGCUAAGGAGAGAAUUAAACGAGCUGAAAAGCUUGGAGUUAAAAGGCUGAAGCUUCCACUAGUGGUGAAACCAAAAGAAGUGAAAUAUUGCCGCCAUUAUAUCCAAGGAAGAUGCUUUGAGGCUGAUAAGUGCAAAUUCUCUCAUGAUACCAUCCCCUUGACAAAGACGUCAAAGCCAUGUCGUCAUUUUGCACGUCAGUCUUGCAUGAAAGGUGAUGACUGCCCAUUUGAUCAUCAACUCUCCAAGUAUCCGUGCGAAAAAUAUGCAUCUCAAGGGUUUUGCAACAGAGGUGGUGAUUGUUUAUUUUCACACGAGAUAUCUGCUAAGACAGCAACAGUGACAAGUCCUACUGCUUCAAACCCGCCAUCAGCUCCAAGUAAAUCAAACUCUUUGAUUCAAGUAGACACAUAUGGAAUGUCGCAUAAAGACGUUAACUCCACAUCUGGUUCAGCUGCGCUUGUUCCUGGUAAGAGCGCUGAGCGAAGUGUAUUAGAGUGUGUGGGAAAGCCAGCUGCACGUGCACCCAAAGGUGUCAGGUUAUUUUCUGGUGUCACGUUAUCAUCUCCUCGUGGGAAGUCUUUGCAAGGUGAUGCCGAAAAACAUAAAGAAGCUGAUUUAUCUUCCAAGGCAGAUGAUGUUGGAAAAUUUAAGUCAGAAAGUAAUCAGAAACUGAAUGGAUUCAUGAAAGGAACAUCUGUGAGGACACCACAAGGAGUGAACUUCUUGUCCUUUGGCCGAGCACCUUUGGCUGAGCCCAGUCGUGACACAUUAACAAGCAUGCUUAAUAUGGAUUAUGGAGUUGAUAAAUUGCAGUUGGGUGACAUGAACAACAGUAAAGAAGCUGCAACAUGUUCCAAGAGGAAUGACAGUGUCAAAGAUGAUAAUCAAGCCAAUGUAAGUGCCAAGUUAAGGAGCAUGAACCAAAUGUCGACUAGAAAUCCCCCUGGUUCUGUACCUCGGGGUGUAAACAUCCUGUCAGUUGACAAAGCAGUAAAGAAUAGAUUGCAUCCUAAUGACUUCAACAGUGCUUCAUCACCCAUUCAGAGGAGACAAAAUGCACUAAAUACAACUUCCACCGAAAUGCCGUUUAGGCAGUUGAGUUCUUUAUUUCCAGCUGGGCAGUCCUUAAUCCAGUCCGCACAGAAGUGCAAUGCCGAAGUUUCCAGCUCCUCGAAGGCACCGUUGCUUGCAAAUACAACGAGCUCGAUUCAGAAGGCUCUUAGUUCAACUUUAGCAUUUGCAGCUAACUUGGAAGUCAAGUAUGGAAUGCCCAAUGGUUCCCCUGACAUAAGUUCCGCGAUCAAUCAUAAGGCUGGAAGUUCAAGGGAUAGGUGAAGGAAUUUAAUUUCUUUCGACCGUGGUUAUGGUAGCACGCUCAUGCUCAAUAAGUUAUGAAGGCAGUCUGCAUGUUUGAGUAAUGAGGUAAAAGGGCUUUUGUAGUUGGUGUAUCCGAUGAUAACACAUAUGGCUGGGCUAUUGAUAAAUUCCUGGCUGGCUGCUGCAGGGUUUUAUCGGAAAUAACCUCUCCAUCUCACCUUUGAGGUAGUGAUAUGACUGUGUACACUUUACCCUCUCCGGACCCCAAUUUGUGGGAAUAUACUAGGUAUGUUGUUGUAUAUGCUUAAGAUUUUUAGCUGUCGUUUGGUAGAGUGUAUAGGAAUAAUGCAAAAUAUGGUGUAUUAGUAAUGCUUGUGUUGGCUAUACUUGCAUUAGUUAUGUUUGUAUUUUUUCUUA
Molecule: RNA transcript, 3405 nt
Organism: Capsicum annuum
Lineage: Eukaryota; Viridiplantae; Streptophyta; Magnoliopsida; Solanales; Solanaceae
Gene name: zinc finger CCCH domain-containing protein 65
Exons: 10
Source: RefSeq, a predicted model, not a curated record